This 691-nucleotide ribosomal RNA is filed under the name uncultured bacterium. Its description in RNAcentral is "bacterial SSU rRNA". It matches the Rfam family "Bacterial small subunit ribosomal RNA", at positions 79 to 766 of the family's 1533-position model. The record is from RNAcentral.
CUUGCUUCUCUUGAGAGCGGCGGACGGGUGAGUAAUGCCUAGGAAUCUGCCUGGUAGUGGGGGAUAACGUCCGGAAACGGACGCUAAUACCGCAUACGUCCUACGGGAGAAAGCAGGGGACCUUCGGGCCUUGCGCUAUCAGAUGAGCCUAGGUCGGAUUAGCUAGUUGGUGGGGUAAUGGCUCACCAAGGCGACGAUCCGUAACUGGUCUGAGAGGAUGAUCAGUCACACUGGAACUGAGACACGGUCCAGACUCCUACGGGAGGCAGCAGUGGGGAAUAUUGGACAAUGGGCGAAAGCCUGAUCCAGCCAUGCCGCGUGUGUGAAGAAGGUCUUCGGAUUGUAAAGCACUUUAAGUUGGGAGGAAGGGCAGUAAAUUAAUACUUUGCUGUUUUGACGUUACCGACAGAAUAAGCACCGGCUAACUCUGUGCCAGCAGCCGCGGUAAUACAGAGGGUGCAAGCGUUAAUCGGAAUUACUGGGCGUAAAGCGCGCGUAGGUGGUUCGUUAAGUUGGAUGUGAAAUCCCCGGGCUCAACCUGGGAACUGCAUUCAAAACUGACGAGCUAGAGUAUGGUAGAGGGUGGUGGAAUUUCCUGUGUAGCGGUGAAAUGCGUAGAUAUAGGAAGGAACACCAGUGGCGAAAGCGACCACCUGGACUGAUACUGACACUGAGGUGCGAAAGCGUGGGG